This 653-nucleotide long non-coding RNA is filed under the name Equus asinus (donkey). Its description in RNAcentral is "lncRNA (ENSEASG00005023602.1)". The record is from RNAcentral. Lineage: Eukaryota; Metazoa; Chordata; Mammalia; Perissodactyla; Equidae.
AAUUCAUUGAGGCUGGCGGGAAGGGGGGCGGGGACCGCGCAGUCUCUUUAAGGCGCUUCCAGUUCUCGGCUCCAAUCGCUGCUCUGACCCCCUUCAUCGUCUCCUCCCCUCUCCUCGUCCUUCCCUUCGUCUGUGCGGCUUCCCCAGCGCUGUGGGGCUGCGGACGGAGGGGUAGCCUAGUCCAGAAGUGUCUCUGGGGCUGUGAAAUGUCCCCUCAGAGGGUGGGUCCUGAGGAGAGCAGUCAGAAGCUGUGAUAGGCCAUCAUCUCUGUGGCUGAGCCUGCCCCCAGCCGUGUCCCAGGCUCCCCUCCCACCCCAGCUUCUGCUCUGCCAGAUAAGGAUGAAGCCCCAGCUCCAUUCUGGGGCAGGCCUGGACCCCAGAUCCGGAGGGGCAGAGCUCCCAAGGCCACUGGGCCUAAAGAGUCACGUCCCUUUGCCCAUCUUAUUGGUGCUCUGCACAGUCUGUGCCUGCUCCUCGCCUCCUGCUCGGGCUCCCAAGGCCACGGCACCUCAGCAUCCUUCCAGUCAACGCCUGCCCUUUGUGCCUUGCAACCAGAGGAACUGCAACUAGUGCAUUCAGUGAAGGAAUCUUGCUCCUGCUGCUGCUGCUGAAAAUGACUGAGGUCAUGGAGUGGGACCAGGGAAUGGGAGGUA